Molecule: long non-coding RNA, 3130 nt
Filed under: Sorghum bicolor (sorghum)
Lineage: Eukaryota; Viridiplantae; Streptophyta; Magnoliopsida; Poales; Poaceae
Description: long non-coding RNA (SBIC_LNC014207)
Source: RNAcentral
CACACUUUACCUUGACUUCUCAUGGGGCUUAUAGCUUUUCCAAGUUCUUGGGUGGUUGCAAGAUAGAAUGGUUGUAACAGACUCACCAUUCAUUCAUCCCUUGAUAGACCAUCAAUCCGGAGGUUUUAUAAAUUUUUGCAAAAUAAAUAAGUUCCUAGAAUGAUUCUCUCGAUCGCUUAAUGUGUAUGAAAUCCUCAGCAAAGGCAUUUGUGUUUGCCUUUAAGACCUACCACUAAGGCAGAGAAUGGAGCUUUGGGAAGGUAUAAAGGUGGGCGUACUUAUGAAACUUGUGUUGCUGUUGGUACCCCUUAUCUUAUAAUUAUAAACAUCAUUUUAAUAAAUAAAAUAAAUAGAUGGUAGGGAUUUGAACUAACCUUUCCACAAGUUUUGUUGCAAAUAUCAAUUUCAGGUAUGACAAGUGGAAAGACGCAAAAGACACGAGAAAGCGCACUUCAAGAAAGCGUAUUUAGAAAAGGCCCACCAAAACACAGAACUGGAUCCAUCCGUAACCUAAGGAAGGAUCAGGGCCCAGGGACGAACCUACCACGCAAAGGCGGUGGCCAGUGGGGCCCACCAGUGGUGCGGCCGCACCCUCGUGCGGGCGCACCCCCCGUGGCGGCAACUCGAAACCACCUUUUUCAGACGGUUGCAUGGCGGCAUGCAUAGGACGGUUUCACCUCCUAAAAAUUUAGAUUGCCAUGAAUCAUCCUUGUUGGGCUAUAAAUAGAUGGGUCCACACCAUUCAACACACACACACCAUCAUUUGGAGCAAUACACCUCACAUUUCUACACUUGUUCUUUAGUUUAGAUUGAGUAGUAGAGAAAGGCAAAGCUAGCAAGGAGAGCUUGUCUCCUUGGAGAAUCUUAAAGCUUCUACACUUGUUGAAGAUCUUUAGACCACACCUCCUGCACGAAUCUUUGUUUAGGCACAAUUUUCCUUUUCACAAUAUUUAUGUUUCAUAUAUUUUUUCCCUUCCAAUGUAAUGUGCCUAUUCAAAGUUAUCAAUAAAAAAAGGUUUGUUUAUCUUGUGCACUUGUUUUCUAUAUAUAUUGUGACUAACCAUGACAGGAAAGAAAACAAGUGUGGGGUAAGGACUAUUCAAUAAAAAAUCUAGAUUUGUGCAAACCCUCUUCCCCCAAAAAGAUUUUCAAAUGAAAUGUUUAAAAUGAUGUUACCUUUGUACUCCAUCAAACAUGUCUCCUAUGUUCAAAUAUGUUUUUGCAUACUUUUUAUUCUUAGCUAAUAUCCCUAUAGAUUUAUGAACACUUGUUAUAGGGACCCCAUUUUAUCUAAGUAAUUGACGUAUGUGAUAUAGUAGGAUGACAUGAUGCUUGCUGGUUCUUGCAAAGUACUUGGGUUUUCUUUUAUAAAAAGCAAAGUUCAAUAGCAAGUUUCUUGAAUGAUAAACCUUUAUUCCUACCAUGGCCAAAUAUUUGUUCAUGAUUAAACCUUCUACAUAUGCUGCUUGCUCUGUGUUGAGUUUGGUCAAAUUUUUGGACCGCUGUCGAGAGAUGUUUCAUGCCUCUAAGAUCAGAAUUCACUUGCACCCACCAUAUAAAAGCCGACUCUCACACUGAGAAGUCACGCACAACAUGCUUUCUCUAUCCACCCAAAAUUUCACCAACUCUUACACUGAGGGUUACGCACAUAUAUCCACCAAAUAAAAAUGCUAAUAUCUCACCCUGAGAAUUGUGCGUUCAUAUACAUUCCUUGCAUUUGUUAUCAUAAAGCUCUCUUUCCUUUUCAUCAGAAUCAUAGGAAUGAGCUAUAUAUACAAAAAAAUUAUUAUGAGAAAAAGCCAAAGGGGCAAAACGGGAAGAGAUUCAUACCCGUCCAAAAAAAUAAAAAAAUAAAUAAAUAAAUAAAAUUUGUGUUAUAGCCCAUAUCCUCUCAAGUUUUUCAUCUCAUUUCAAAACAGAGUCUUGAUGCAAGGAAUGUUGCAAUAAAAGUAGUGAUAGGAUUCCACCAAAAAUUCCACACACUUGCACAUCCUGAUCUAAGGGUAUGGCGCACUCCCUCCGGUAUGGUCCUAGGUUUGACUUGACAACAUAUGCAGGGUAAGUAAGUUCCACCAUCAUACCUACCCAAAACUCCAGAUAAGCCUUUUAGAAGUAGGAUGAUAAAAAAGAAGGCCUCAACUCUUUAUGCCUUGGUAAGGAACCACUCACAUAUUAGGAGGGACUUGAGAGCAUCAUUCAAGAAACAUGUGCUAUUUUUAUUUUUCAAAAUUUUGCAAAACCCCAAGUUUCUGCGCAGGGACUAUGUAAGAGAAUUUGAAUCCAAGUUGUUCCAUGUUUCAAUUACACAAGAUAGCUUGGUAGACACUUUGAAGUUCAUAAAUCCAGGUGAAGCUGUGAAUAACCUGUAUGCAGAUUCUUUUGACAAGGAAGAUGAACCCAUUUGGUCUUUAGUGCCUUCACUCAAGGACUAGCAAAGGACCAAGUGUGGGGGAGUUGGUACCCCUUAUCUUAUAAUUAUAAACAUCAUUUUAAUAAAUAAAAUAAAUAGAUGGCAGAGCUUUGAACUAACCUUUCCACAAGUUUUGUUGCAAAUAUCAAUUUCAGGUAUGACACGUGGAAAGGCGCAAAAGACACGAGAAAGCGCACUUGAAGAAAGCGUCUUCAGAAAAGGCGCAAAUCAAAAGAUAAAUGGAAAAGCCCACCAAAACACCGAACUGGAUCCAUCCGUAACCUCGGGAAGGAUCAGGGCCAAGAGACGAACCUACCACACGAAGGCAGUGGCCAGGGGGGCCCACCAGUGGCUCCACACCAUUCAACACACACACCAUUAUUUGGUGCAAUACACCUCACAUUUGUACACUUGUUCUUUAGUUUAGAUUCAGCAGUAGAGCAAGGCAAAGCUAUCAAGGAGAGCUUGUCUCCUCGGAGGAUCUUAGAGCUUCUUGGUUGAAUACAAUUCAGUUCUCCUCCAUGAGCAAGUUCUUAUCUUAUUUAUAUGAUUAUGCAAUUGAAUUAGAGUAUAGUUGUGUUCAUAUCUUGUUCAUAGUAUAUGAACUAGUUCUUAGUUCUUGUGCUAUGUUCUUGAUGUGUUCAUCCUUGUUCUUCAUCGUUCAUCGAAUUAGUAUGAAUAGACAAAGGAUUAAGAUUGGGGUAACGGUUCAUUGGGCUG